UUUAUGAGUGGCCGAAAUCAAAACGAUAUUUUGUUCUUAAAUUAAAAUCGAACCGAUUUGGUGCUAGAAACCGAGCCGACCGAAUCCCGAUCUUCCCUCCAAUAUCUUAGCUCAGCUCAGCCCCGCGCCCCCGCGUCUCUACUUUUUGUCUCUGCAUCUCAAAGUUUGAAACUGAAAUGAGAAAUUUCUAUCUGGUCUCUUACCCUCAGCUUCUUCCCUCCCCUCUUCAUCUAGAUUCUCUCCCCAAAGUGUUGGAAGAAGGGACUGUGGCGGAGGCGAAGGAUAGAGAGAGAAAUCGAAGCGACUUGCGUUGGCAUUCGGUUGCGCAGCUGUGACCGAGAGUUGCACGGUGAGUGAAGUCUUUGAGAUUUAGGGUUAGGGUUUCGGGGGCUGGAGGGCUGGGCUUAAUGGGAUUGGGCUCAACCCUUAAAUGAUGCAAUCAUGUGAAAUAAACAUUAUCAAAUGAAACUUACAAGACGAUGCAAUCAUGUGGUAGCGACUUCUGUUUUCAAGGUCUACAGCUGAUUAUUUCCAUCAGAGCAACACCGAAGCUAUACACAUCACUUUUCUCAGUCAGCCUGUUUGAUUUAUAGUACCUGAGAUACGAGCGGUAACCAAAAGUGCCAGCAACAACGGUGGACAUGUAGGUGUUGUUGCCUUCUGUCGGGAAGCUUUUGGACAAACCAAAAUCUGCAAGUUUGGCUUGGAAAUUCUCUGUCAAUAAGAUGUUGGUUGUUUUCACAUCUCUGUGGACUAUGGGCGGCUUGCAACCAUCAUGCAGGUUGGGAAUAAGAGGCCCGUACCAAAGAUUCCCAUUAUAGGUGAUGUUGAAUCCUCUGGUUUGAUUGGCUUUGAGAUCUUCAA
This is a long non-coding RNA of Momordica charantia (bitter melon), 864 nucleotides long. RefSeq lists it as uncharacterized. Lineage: Eukaryota; Viridiplantae; Streptophyta; Magnoliopsida; Cucurbitales; Cucurbitaceae. The record is from RefSeq and is a predicted model, not a curated record.